AGUGACGAUAGCCUAGGAGAUACACCUGUACCCAUGCCGAACACAGUAGUUAAGCCCUAGAACGCCUGAAGUAGUUGGGGGUUGCCCCCUGUUAGAUACGGUAGUCGCUUAGCU
Molecule: ribosomal RNA, 114 nt
Filed under: Streptococcus dysgalactiae
Lineage: Bacteria; Bacillati; Bacillota; Bacilli; Lactobacillales; Streptococcaceae
Also listed under: 2 other names
Source: RNAcentral